This 484-nucleotide ribosomal RNA is filed under the name uncultured bacterium. Its description in RNAcentral is "partial 16S ribosomal RNA". It matches the Rfam family "Bacterial small subunit ribosomal RNA", at positions 29 to 507 of the family's 1533-position model. The record is from RNAcentral.
AUUGAACGCUGGCGGCAUGCUUUACACAUGCAAGUCGAACGGCAGCGCGGGCUUCGGCCUGGCGGCGAGUGGCGAACGGGUGAGUAAUACAUCGGAACGUGCCCAGUAGUGGGGGAUAGCUCGGCGAAAGCCGGAUUAAUACCGCAUACGACCUGAGGGUGAAAGCGGGGGAUCUUCGGACCUCGCGCUAUUUGAGCGGCCGAUGGCAGAUUAGCUAGUUGGUGGGGUAAAGGCCUACCAAGGCGACGAUCUGUAGCUGGUCUGAGAGGACGACCAGCCACACUGGGAGUGAGACACGGCCCAGACUCCUACGGGAGGCAGCAGUGGGGAAUUUUGGACAAUGGGCGAAAGCCUGAUCCAGCAAUGCCGCGUGUGGGAUGAAGGCCUUCGGGUUGUAAAGCACUUUUGGCGGGAACGAAAAGGACUGUGCCAAUACCACGGUUCGAUGACGGUACCCGCAGAAUAAGCACCGGCUAACUACGUG